This 73-nucleotide transfer RNA is filed under the name Candidatus Cardinium hertigii. Its description in RNAcentral is "tRNA-Cys". It matches the Rfam family "tRNA". From Rfam's summary of the family: Transfer RNA (tRNA) molecules are approximately 80 nucleotides in length. RNAcentral also lists the same sequence under 1 other name. The record is from RNAcentral. Lineage: Bacteria; Pseudomonadati; Bacteroidota; Cytophagia; Cytophagales; Amoebophilaceae.
GGUCGCGUGGCCGAGUGGUUAAGGCAGGGGUCUGCAAAACCUCUUAUCGGUGGUUCGAAUCCACUCGCGACCU